This 342-nucleotide long non-coding RNA is filed under the name Heterocephalus glaber (naked mole-rat). RNAcentral's name for it is "lncRNA (ENSHGLG00000042229.1)". The record is from RNAcentral. Lineage: Eukaryota; Metazoa; Chordata; Mammalia; Rodentia; Bathyergidae.
GGAGUGGAGGCUCCUUAAGUGGCUCAGAGGCACCUGUACCAUGAUGUGAUGCUGGAGAACUUUGUUUUUUUGGUACCUGGGAUCAAACUCAGGACCUUGCACUUGCAAGGCAGGUGCAGGUGGUGGAACCACUGAGCUAAAUGCCUGGUGAUGCCCGAGAACUUUGAGCUCAUUAUCUCACUGGAUUCCCUGUGGUUGAUGUGGAUCCUGGGACUGCCUUGUGUAAGACCGAGGGCCUUACCAAACCCUCCGAGGAGCUGACUGCAGUGAAGAACACCUGGGAAGGAACACACCGGACAAGUUGGAGAGGAUCAAACUCAGGACUUGUGCUUGAGAGGCAGG